GAACGCUGGCGGCGUGCUUACACAUGCAAGUCGAGUGCGCGUCCGUAGCAAUACGGAUGGCGCACGGCGCACGGGUGCGUAACACGUGGGCAAUCUGCCCUCAGAUGGGGGAUAACCCGCCGAAAGGCGGGCUAAUACCGCAUGACAUUCCGGGGACUCCGGUCCCUGGACUCAAAGGCCGCAAGGCCGUCAGAGGAGGAGCCCGCGCCCGAUUAGCUAGUUGGUGAGGUAACGGCUCACCAAGGCUUUGAUCGGUAGCCGGUCUGAGAGGAUGGCCGGCCACACUGGAACUGAGACACGGUCCAGACUCCUACGGGAGGCAGCAGUGGGGAAUAUUGCGCAAUGGGCGAAAGCCUGACGCAGCGACGCCGCGUGGGGGAUGAAGCUUCUCGGAGUGUAAACCCCUUUCGACCCGGACGAAUGACCCGCAAGGGUUUGACGGUACGGGUAUAAGAAGCCCCGGCUAACUACGUGCCAGCAGCCGCGGUAAUACGUAGGGGGCCAGCGUUGCUCGGAAUUACUGGGCGUAAAGGGUUCGUAGGUGGUGCGGCAAGUUGGAAGUGAAAUCUCCGGGCUUAACUCGGAGGCUGCUUUCAAAACUGGCGCGCUCGAGUGCGGGAGAGGCCAGUGGAAUUGCAGGUG
RNAcentral lists this ribosomal RNA (642 nucleotides) under uncultured bacterium. RNAcentral describes it as "bacterial SSU rRNA". It matches the Rfam family "Bacterial small subunit ribosomal RNA", at positions 31 to 675 of the family's 1533-position model. The record is from RNAcentral.